Molecule: ribozyme, 74 nt
Filed under: unclassified sequences
Description: pistol ribozyme
Rfam family: Pistol ribozyme
Source: RNAcentral
ACUCGACCGAGCGAGUAUAAAUAGCCAUUAGGCUCGGUGCGUCUAUCCCUCACACCACGAGGGAUAGGGUUGAA